This 232-nucleotide ribosomal RNA is filed under the name uncultured bacterium. Its description in RNAcentral is "partial 16S ribosomal RNA". It matches the Rfam family "Bacterial small subunit ribosomal RNA", at positions 99 to 334 of the family's 1533-position model. The record is from RNAcentral.
CGGACGGGUGAGUAAUGCUUGGGAAUCUGGCUUAUGGAGGGGGAUAACUACGGGAAACUGUAGCUAAUACCGCGUAAUAUCGAAAGAUUAAAGUGUGGGACCUUCGGGCCACAUGCCAUAGGAUGAGCCCAAGUGGGAUUAGGUAGUUGGUGAGGUAAAGGCUCACCAAGCCGACGAUCUCUAGCUGGUCUGAGAGGAUGACCAGCCACACUGGGACUGAGACACGGCCCAG